Molecule: long non-coding RNA, 1994 nt
Organism: Nematostella vectensis (starlet sea anemone)
Lineage: Eukaryota; Metazoa; Cnidaria; Anthozoa; Actiniaria; Edwardsiidae
Exons: 2
Source: RefSeq, a predicted model, not a curated record
UUGGCGAUCAUGGUCCAAUUACGUAUCUUCAAUAAGCCAAGCAAAUCUUGUCUGCAUCAAAAAUUACGUCAUCAAGUUCGGGUUACCUGUGUUAGAAGGCCUGCUGCGACAGUUUGAACUUUGGCAGCGGCCGCCAAAUGCAAAUAACUUUAGGAGUAUUGAUGCUGUUAUGCCCAUAAAUUUCACAUAUUUAGGCCGAGAAUUGGACAAGAAACAUUUUAGAUUUUAAGAUAAGAGUAUGUGUGUUUAAUUAAAAAAAUUCAUUUCGUUUACUUAGCGAAAUGUAUCUUUGAAUGUUCGCGUGAAGAUAACGGAAAUUUGCCUUCAGAAGUCCAACUCAUCUUAUAAAUACGCAUAAACCGUGAAUAAUCUCGCCGAGCCACUCCAGAAUCUAGUAGAGAUAAGUCCAUAUUUCACAAGAACAUUGUACCAUAAACGUUUAAACGAUGAAAACUGCAUAAUAUAAUUCGUUUCCUCAAUAUAUUCUAAUCUCGUUGUGUUUUAUUUAGCUAUGAUCAUAACAAAUGAAGACGCAUCAAGUCUGAGCUAAUUUUCAAAACAUCGUUUUAUAGUACAGCUCCUAAAUGAAUUGAUUACAAAAACUUGCACGAUAUACAUUACAGGUUCACGUACUUAUCCAUGUGAAGCCUCACCCAGGACUCCCAAGAUGAAACAAAAUGAAAUCGUAUGUACAAUAUAAGCCAAAAUAUCCAAUUUAGCAUCCAAGAUGCUGUCUUGGAUAUUGGCGAUCAUCACAUACCCUAGGGUUUUAAGCUAUCCUAAGUUGUUAUAAAGAUUAAGAAACUAUCACAAUUAAUUCAAGCAGGGGCAGAGCGUCAUGUUACAGAGAAAUUCGGAAACUCCUGUGAGAUGCAAGUUGAGAUCCGAAAUUCGGAAACUCCUGUGAGAUGCAAGCUUGGCUCCGAAAUUCGGAAUCCCCUGUGAGAUGCAAGCUUGGCUCCGAAAUUCGGAAUCGCCUGUGAGAUGCAAGCUUGGUUCCGAAACUCGGAAUCGCCUGUGAGAUGCAACUGGGGGUCCGAAAUUCGGAAUCGCCUGUGAGAUGCAAGCUGGGGUCUGAAAUUCUGGAUCUCCUCUGAUCAAAAGCUGGGGUCCGAGACGUUGCUUUAUUUUAAACCGAGCUUUUUAGGGAGUACGUGGGGAAUUAAGGUUUUAGGUGGUCAAAAUUAUGAUGUCCGCAACGUUCACAGAUAUUCAUCCAUAAAAUUUUCAAUGAAACUAUAAGUCCGUGUAAAUCACUGUUUUGAAAUAAAAAAAUUCAGUAGAAACUGGUGUUGUUUAAACGGAAAAAUACCCUUUUAGACUGAUUCAUCUUGAAUCAAGCGGAAAAUUUGCUAAAUUUCCGAGUAAAAUGGCUUAUACUGGACGGAAUUUUGUAUUUUUAAAAAAACCCAUUUCAGUUUGGAACGUGUUAAGGGCCUCCUUAAAAUCUUCGGGCUCCCAUGUAUAGACAAAAUUUUCGGGUCUUUUCUUGGCGGCCUCUUAUUAAAGGAAGGCAUACAGUAAUUCGAAAUCUGGCAGCUCCAACCUUUUGCCAAGUUUAUCGACAACAAUGGCGUAAUCCAAAACUGGUUCCGAAGAGUUUUGCUUACGAUUUUCCAAAACUUGGGUAAUUCGGAGUCGGAUGUUAUAGGGAUCGUAUUGGGUUUUAAGUUUUUCGACAAUUUCGUUAAAAGGUAACCUGUUAGGGUCAUCCAAGGGAUUAAACUAUUAGCGUGCAGCAUCUUUAGGGCAUAAGACUAGCGCAAAACUUGAAGACACUGUGUGGUUGUUGUCCUGCGGUUGCGACUGUGAACAAACAGGAAAGACAGAAAGAAAAAAAAGAUGAAUGGAAGAUAUAGAGCCCCCUAACACUGGUAGAUAACCAAAAACCUUAACACUGGUAGGUAACCAAAAACCUUAACACUGGUAGAUAACCAAAAACCUUAACACUGGUAGAUAACCAAAAACCUUAACACUGGAAGAGAACUAAAGUC